Molecule: ribosomal RNA, 253 nt
Filed under: uncultured bacterium
Lineage: Bacteria
Description: partial 16S ribosomal RNA
Rfam family: Bacterial small subunit ribosomal RNA
Source: RNAcentral
UACGUAGGGUGCGAGCGUUAAUCGGAAUUACUGGGCGUAAAGCGUGCGCAGGCGGUUCGAAAAGUCCGAUGUGAAAGCCCCGGGCUCAACCUGGGAAUGGCAUUGGAAACUGGCGGGCUAGAGUGUGGCAGAGGGGGGUGGAAUUCCGCGUGUAGCAGUGAAAUGCGUAGAGAUGCGGAGGAACACCGAUGGCGAAGGCAGCCCCCUGGGCCGACACUGACGCUCAGGCACGAAAGCGUGGGGAGCAAACAGG